RNAcentral lists this unclassified non-coding RNA (357 nucleotides) under Hevea brasiliensis (rubber tree). The record is from RNAcentral. Lineage: Eukaryota; Viridiplantae; Streptophyta; Magnoliopsida; Malpighiales; Euphorbiaceae.
GGGAUGGCAAAAAAAUUCCAGAUGUGAUUGCCAAGUGCAACCUCCUUCCAGAGAUGUACCAAGCAAAUGAAUUCCCUUUUGGUGCAUGGAGCAAGAAACAAUUUGAAUUCAGAAAAGCUGGCCUAUCAAUGUAUGAACCAAUGGAUUCUGCUGAACCAAAAAAUAUAUGGCCAUAUAUCAUUACAAAGCGAUGCAGAGGGAAGAUGUUUGCUCAACUAAGGGAUUCCUUAUCAUGGGACGAUGCUUUAAACUUAGCUUCCUUUUUGGGAGAGCAGUUGCGCAAUCUUCAUCUCUUACCUCAUCCACCUUUUAAUAGUACAAUUUCGUCAACUAGCUAUACAUCUGAGGCUAUUCCUG